This 253-nucleotide ribosomal RNA is filed under the name uncultured bacterium. RNAcentral's name for it is "partial 16S ribosomal RNA". It matches the Rfam family "Bacterial small subunit ribosomal RNA", at positions 524 to 776 of the family's 1533-position model. The record is from RNAcentral.
UACGUAGGUGGCAAGCGUUGUCCGGAUUUAUUGGGCGUAAAGCGCGCGCAGGCGGUUCGAAAAGUCCAUGGUGAAAGCGCCUGGCUUAACCGGGCGAGGUCGGCGGAAACUGUUUCACUGGAGGACGGUAGAGGGGGGUGGAAUUCCCGGUGUAGUGGUGAAAUGCGUAGAGAUCGGGAGGAACACCUGUGGCGAAGGCGGCCCCCUGGGCCGGCCCUGACACUGAGACGCGAAGGCGUGGGGAGCGAACGGG